AGUGAACGCUGGCGGUAGGCCUAACACAUGCAAGUCGAACGGCAGCACAGUAAGAGCUUGCUCUUACGGGUGGCGAGUGGCGGACGGGUGAGGAAUACAUCGGAAUCUACUUUUUCGUGGGGGAUAACGUAGGGAAACUUACGCUAAUACCGCAUACGACCUACGGGUGAAAGCAGGGGAUCUUCGGACCUUGCGCGAUUGAAUGAGCCGAUGUCGGAUUAGCUAGUUGGCGGGGUAAAGGCCCACCAAGGCGACGAUCCGUAGCUGGUCUGAGAGGAUGAUCAGCAACACUGGAACUGAGACACGGUCCAGACUCCUACGGGAGGCAGCAGUGGGGAAUAUUGGACAAUGGGCGCAAGCCUGAUCCAGCCAUACCGCGUGGGUGAAGAAGGCCUUCGGGUUGUAAAGCCCUUUUGUUGUGAAAGAAAAGCAGCAGGUUAAUACCCCGCUGUUCUGACGGUACCCAAAGAAUAAGCACCGGCUAACUUCGUG
Molecule: ribosomal RNA, 492 nt
Filed under: uncultured bacterium
Lineage: Bacteria
Description: partial 16S ribosomal RNA
Rfam family: Bacterial small subunit ribosomal RNA
Source: RNAcentral